Molecule: long non-coding RNA, 434 nt
Filed under: Rhinopithecus bieti (black snub-nosed monkey)
Lineage: Eukaryota; Metazoa; Chordata; Mammalia; Primates; Cercopithecidae
Description: lncRNA (ENSRBIG00000045471.1)
Source: RNAcentral
CUAAAACCAAGAGGAACACAAGAGCCAGGAAAGUGGGGUCCUGUUCUCAGCUCUACCACUUAGAAAAGGGCAGCCAGUAAGAAAUUUUCCCCUAAGUUGAAAAUGGAGAAAAAGAACAAAACCAACAACAAAAAACUCAAAACUUGGCCUGGCCACCAUGGAGCACGCUUCCAGGUUCCUGAUCCAGUCUCUUGAAUCCUGCCUCAGUUGGCCUCCUGCAUAAUCUGCCUGGCUCAUUCCUGCCACCCAGCCCGUAACUUCCACUGGAUCCUUACUCUUGCCUGUGUCUGGCCUCUGAUGGACUUACCUGGUGUCGACUCAUGACCUAUUUCUGAUGUUACCCAAAUGAGGCAUAUUACUACUGAGGAUAUCUAGUCUGAUUUAUUGCAGAUCACUGACUAAACUUUGAGCAUUGGAUUAAAGUUCCAUCUUCC